GUGGGGAAUAUUGGACAAUGGGCGGAAGCCUGAUCCAGCCAUGCCGCGUGUGUGAAGAAGGCCUUUUGGUUGUAAAGCACUUUAAGCGAGGAGGAGGCUCUUAAGGUUAAUACCCUUGAUGAGUGGACGUUACUCGCAGAAUAAGCACCGGCUAACUCUGUGCCAGCAGCCGCGGUAAUACAGAGGGUGCGAGCGUUAAUCGGAUUUACUGGGCGUAAAGCGUGCGUAGGCGGCUGAUUAAGUCGGAUGUGAAAUCCCUGAGCUUAACUUAGGAAUUGCAUUCGAUACUGGUCAGCUAGAGUAUGGGAGAGGAUGGUAGAAUUCCAGGUGUAGCGGUGAAAUGCGUAGAGAUCUGGAGGAAUACCGAUGGCGAAGGCAGCCAUCUGGCCUAAUACUGACGCUGAGGUACGAAAGCAUGGGGAGCAAACAGGAUUAGAAACCCGUGUAGUCC
This 451-nucleotide ribosomal RNA is filed under the name uncultured bacterium. Its description in RNAcentral is "partial 16S ribosomal RNA". It matches the Rfam family "Bacterial small subunit ribosomal RNA", at positions 354 to 796 of the family's 1533-position model. The record is from RNAcentral.